CCCUUCAGUAUUAAUUCUACUUACAGAAGUACAGUGGACUCUCACAUUGCAGCUUCAGAAAUAUUGUCGAAUUGGUUCGAGUUAUGUAGCAUCACUGGUUAUCUACAAUUGCAGAACUAUUGAAAAUUUGCUUUUGGGAUAAACUUUUGUCUGCGCGCCUCUCCUGUGGUAUACGUAGCUCAUUUUUAUUUUACCAUCCUGUGGUUCGAAAAAGUCAAAAAGUUGAAUCACAGUGUAAUUUAAGUAUAAUUUUUUGAAUCACCAGGGUGGUAAAGUGAAAAUGAGAUAAACCCCGGGAUGCAGAGUAAAGUUUACAUUUUUCUUUUUUUCAGAACUAUUCUCCUUUGAAACAGUUGCAAUCAUAAACAAAAGCAGUAAUGUGGACAAGUCAACACCAGGUAGUUGACUAAGGAGUCAAGUCAACGGUCAACCAACUGACCAUAUGUGCACACUACUAGAUAGGUAUACAUCUACAACUACACAAUACAUAUGUGCAUGGAUUGCUUGGGGUGGUAAAAUCUAGAGGUUGUGGGCUGCGAAGAAGGCGUCGAGAUCGGGGCCGGCGUAGAACUCCUUGCGUGGCCGCGGUGGCGGCGGAGGCGGAGACGCGACGUCACUCCGCAGCUUCCUCGGCGCGGAGGGGCACUUCGGGGCCGCCGACUCCGGAAUUCGCCUCUCCGCCGCCUUAGGCGUCCUCCACCCCUCCUCCGCCUCUCGCCACCCCUCUUCGGUCGUCGCCGAACCGCCCAUCAUCGCCUCCGCCGCCACCACCUCCUCUUCUCCAAACAAGAAGAGCUCUAGAGGGAGAGAGAGAGAGAGAGAGAGAGAGAGAGAGAGAGAGAGAGAGAGAGAGAGAGAGGGUUGGUUUGUGGAAUGGAAGUGUGUGUAUGUGUGCGGGGUAGUUUUAUUGUAGGAAUUGGAGAAAUUGGCACGUACGUACGUGGACCGCGGUCUAUAGACUUUUGUUGCAUUUGCCCCUUCAAUUUUUUUUUCACAAAUAGCCUCAUCAAAUUUAUAAUUAUAAUUUUAGCUCUACUCCUGUCACGCUGGGGAGGGGUGUUAAGUUGAACAUGGUGAAUCAUUCACCGUAUUUAAACACGAUGAAUGGUUCACCGUAUUCCAUUCUUAUAUUCUCUCUUUUCAAUACUGAUAUUUUUUUUGCAAUGCAUAUAUUUUUUAUAAAUGUACACAUCAGCGCCACCUCAACUCUUGCUCGCGUGGCGCUUAGGUGGUGACUGCAUGGCAGGGAUAUGGCAAAAAUUAUAAUUAUAAAUUUAAUAGAGUUAUUUAUAAAAAUAAUUUUUUUGAGGGGGCCAAAUGAAAAAAAUGCUAUUUUAAGUUUGAGAGCUCUGUCUAGCUCUUUCCAAAAAAAAAAAAACACUCGAGUUCUAUGAGCCUGGUCUAUAGACCGGGUCCACACAUCAAAGACGCCGCCGAAAUUGACCGAGUUGACCGAAUCUUAAUCCGUAGACACGCGGGAGGGGCGGGGAUCGUGUCGGAGCGACCCAUGCAGAUGGCGGAGCAUGCGGACGCAUUCCGUGCGGGUGUUCGAUCCGCCGUCCAUCCGGGCAUAACCUGAGCACCGACACCACCAACGGAAGGACGUGAUUGAACCGGAUGGGGUCCGCAUGCGGGAUCGUCCGGACGAUGGAGUGUGGUGGCGUCGGAGCCGCGGUUCGCAUGAAGAGGUCGUAUACAACGUUUCGGUGAACACAAUUAUUGGGUGAUUCUCUCGGAUUCGGUACAACGCCAGUUGUAUAAAAUUGAUACAACACCUUUUGUAUAUGGCAAAUUCUUGGUUUCUGAAACGAUUGUUUUAAAAAUAAACAUUAUUUUAUUCGCUUAAAUAAUUAAUUUUCCAAACUAUAAAUUCAUUUGCUUAAGUUUGGGCCACAUAACCGAAAAUUUUUAACUACUUGUAUGAGAUAUAUACUUGCUAGUUUAACGAUAUAAAAAAAUUGAAAUAUGUUAAAUUUUUUAUAGAAAAUUUUAUUUACUAUCUAGAUAAAGAUCAAUAACUUCGAUCUUAAAUUGAAGGAUCCGAUAAUCCAUUUUUAGGACGUCGUUCGAUUUGACAGUUCAUUUUAUGCCCACUUGAUAGGCUUUAUUAUGAUUUCAAAAAAUUACGAAAUUUAUUUUCUAAAAAUUUUAGAUAUUUUAGAUAAUAUUUAACGAAAUAGAACGUCGAUUCAGAAGUUCCAUAACCGAAAACAACUUAUAAGUACAAAUGGCUCUAUACUCAUAAGAGUAUAGUAGCCCUACUCUCUCUCUCUCUCUCUCUCUCUCUCUCUCUCUCUCUCUAUAUAUAUAUAUAUAUAUAUAUAUAGUCCGGCUACUAUACUCUUAUGAGUACGAUCGUCCUCGUACUCAUAAGCUAUUUUCGAUGAGAGAGCUUCCGAAUCAACGAUCCACACCAUUAAACGUUAUCUAGAGCAUUUAAAACGUCUAGAAAUCAAAUUUUAUAAUUUUUCGACAUUAUUUACCUUACGAUUAAAAGGUCACAAAAUUGAUAAUUUUUAACGGCUGGUAUGCGAUAUUUGCUAGUUUAACAGUGUAAAAAAAUCAAAAUCGGUUGAUUUUUUUAUAGAAAAUUCUAUUCACUAUAUAGAUAAAGAUCGAUAACUCUGAUCUUAAAUUGAAUGAUCCAAUCAUCUAUUUUUAAGACGUCAUUCCAUUUUGACCAUUCAUUUUAUACCUGCUUAAUGAACUUAUGAGUAUGAAGGGCUUUAUAUUCAUAAGAGUAUAGUAGCCCUAGCUAGCCUAUAUAUAUAUAUAUAUAUAUAUAUAUAUAUAUAUAUAGGUCAUGGCUACUAUACUAUUAUGAGUAUUGGAGCCCUCGUAAUCAUAAGUUGUUUUCAAUGAUGGAGCUUACCGAAUCGACGAUCCACUCCGUUAAAUAUGAUUUAGAGUAUUUGAAACUUCUAGAAAAUAAAUUUCGUAAAUUUUCGAAAUCAUAAUAAAGUCCAUCAAAUGGGCAUAAAAUGAAUGGUCAAAAUCGAACGACGUCCUAAAAAAGGAUGAUCGGAUCCUUCAAUUCAAGAUCGGAGUUAUUGAUCUUUAUCUAUGUAGUGAAUAGAAUUUUCUAUCAAAAAUUCAAUAAAUUCUGAUUCUUUUACACCGUUAAACUAGCAAGUAUUUCAUACCGGCCGUUAAAAAUUGUCGAAUUUGUGACCUCUUGAUCGUAAGGUAAAUAAUGUCAAAAAAUUAUAAAAUUUGAUUUCUAGAAGUUUUAAAUGCUGUAAAUAACGUUUAACGGUGUGGAUCAUCGAUUCAGAAGCUCUAUCAUCGAAAACAACUUAUGAGUACGAGAGCGAUCGUACUCAUAAUAGUAUAGUAGUCGGACCCUAUAAGGAGGUUAAUAAGUUGACAAGUAAAGUAAAUUGAAUUUAAGAUAAAAGUUACACCAUACGAAUGAAAGAAAAUAUAUAGAAGGAGAAAAAAUAUAUAUACAAACGACACAGAUAAUUUAUUCUAGUUCGGAUAUAAAUAUCAAUGUCAACUGAUGGGGAAUAAUACCAUGAGCACGACGAUCAGUGACAACCCAAUCAGUCAUCCUCUUCUCGUCCGGAGACUUGGUUCCGUCAGUGUAACCGGUAAGAUCGAGGGCGUCAAACAACAACUUUCACUAUAACUGAAGUAGGUUAUAGGGACAUAUUUUUAGAAUAUUUUUGCGUAAAUGUUCUAUUUAUGUCAAAACUUUUUUAAAAAAUCUACUAAAACCUAAAUAUAAAGCACAAUCCAAUCGAAAACAAAAAGUUUCUCUACUCAACCAACUCUACCCAGUCCAUUCAAUCCGAUUACAAAUAGAAAAGGAAAAAAAAAAAAUUGAUCACUAUCUCCCAUUCUCCUCCUUCACCUCCGCAGCCAACGAGGUAAAGUUCCGGCGGUUGGAGUUUGGCGGCCACGAUGAUCUUGCAAGGACUGUAGAGUAUUACGAUCGCUACGUGUCCCUCUGCCACAGGUCGCUAAAGGAGUGGGUGCCAAACAUCAAGACAGCCCAACAUAUAGUAAUAUUUUUAAAAAGUGUCAGUAAUUUAGCCAGCAGUACUUUUUUCGAUUUAUACCAAUAUUUAAAAGUGUCGUUAUGUAUUAUUUUUAUUGUAGUGUUUUUCGAAACAGACCAUUCCUUAGAAUUCACUCUUGUCAACUUGUUAUCAAGUUGUGCUACAGUAGGAAUUGAUGAGCUCAUAGUGGAUGGAGCAGAAAAAUUCGCAGCAGAUGAUGAUGUCGUCAUAGAAAUAGUCGAGUUGUAAGUUUGCUAUAGAUCUGUUGGCUUAAAUGGGCUAGUAUUCUGCCCUGUGGUGGGAGGUUAUAUGGGCCGAGUCAUGUUCGAAAUGGCGUGAGACUGGGUUGGGCGGAAUCAUAUAUGUUUGAAGUGGCGUGAGGUUGAUUGGGCCGAGUCACAAUCGAAAUCCGUGAACGUUGUAUCUGUACGCUUUAAGUGAAUUGGUUGCGUAUUUCUAACAGCUUGAGCUUUUGAGAUUAAUGGUUAAUUAGCGCCAACGAUUUGACAAGUGGUAUCAGAACUAGAGAUCACGAAUUCGAUUUCCGCAUGCUGCAAAUAUGUGCAGGUGCUGGAGAGAAAAUUGUUGACUUAAAUGGGCUAGUAUCCUGUCAUGUGGGCCGAGUCAUAUUCGAAGUGACGUGAGACUGGUUAGGCCGAGUCACAAUCAAAACUUGUGGCCGGAUACUAUAUCUGUACACUUAAAAUGAAUUAAUUAUAUAUUUGUAACAUCUUUAGUUUUUUAAAUUAAUGAUUAGCACCGACGAUCCGAUAAGAUUGAGACGUCAACUCGGAGCAAUAAAGCUAGCUAGUGGACGGAGCUAAGGCCAAGUAGUACUCUAGUCAACAGCUGGAGUGCAAUAAGGUAACUCAGGACACAGAUAAGAAUAAGGAAUCUUAGUUUGCUCUCUGAUACUAUGUAAUUAAUUAUAUGCGGAGAAGAGUAUUUCUCUUUUAUAUUAUUCUAUCAGCAAUGAAUCUCUUUGUAUAUAUAUAGAGAAUUACAUAAUUAGAGAAAAGAAAAUUACAAAAUACCUAUAAACUAAGAUACAAUAUAUAUAUGUAUAAUAUAUAUAUCAAUAUAUAUAUAUUUAACUAUAUAUUAUAUAUAUAUAUAUAUUAUAUAUGAUAUAUAUAUAGUAAAGUAGAGGGCUACUAUACUUUUAUGAGUAUAGAGCCCUUUGUACUCAUAAGUUAUUUUCAACGUUGGGGUUUUCGAAUCAACGAUCCACACUAUUACGAAUAUAAAUAUAAGUUUAAUAAAAAGUAAAAAAGAAAAAAAAGAUAUACAAUAUUGAAAACUUCUAGAAAAUAUAUAAUAUCACAACAAACAUGUAUAUAUUAAUAUAUAAUAUUAUAAUAUAUAUAUAUAAUAUAAUUAUAAUUAUAUAUAUAUAUAUAUAAUAUAAUAUAUAGCUAACAAGAUCCACGCUGCUAUUUACUAUCGGUAGCACAAGGCCUCCCGCUGCAUUGCGUGCCAUAAUGUUUGAUUCGAGUAUGCUGGGCUUCCAAAUCCGACGAUUGGACCCGUUUUAGACUGUUUGAUCUACAUCUAUUAAAAGUUUUGAAAACUAAUUUCAUAAUUUUUCGACCAUCAUUGACUAAUGAUCAAAAGCAUCUCAAAAAUUGAUAUUUUUAAUGGCACGAAUGUGCGUGUUUGUGGGUUUAACGGUGUAAAAACAAUCCAAAUCCGAGAUUGAAAAUUUUUAAUAGAAAUUUUUUUUUCACUAUUUAGAGUAAGAUUAGUACCUCUGAUCUUAAAUUCAAAUCUUUUAUCAUCAUUUUUUUAUGAGAUUUUUAUUUUCAGCCGUUGAAUUUUAGACUAUUUGUUUGAUAGGUAAAUGAUAUCGAAAAAUUAUGAAAUUUAGUUUUCAAAUACUUUUAAUAAUAUAGAUCAAGUCUAACGGAGCCGAUCGUCGAUUUGGAAGCCGCAUCAUCGAAAACAACUCGGUAGCACGGGAGGCCCCGUGCUACCGAUAGUAUAGUAGCCAGACUCUAGCUAACAAUUACUAUUACCAACAUUCAUAUAUAUAUAUAUAUAUAUAUAUAUAUAUAUAGUUAUAUGUAUCCACAUCUCUUAGACAUGCAGGGGCUUCAACACUGUGGGGAGCCCAAAUUUUGGCUGCAGCGUUAGCACGUCGUUCGGCGCAUGCACGUACUUGGGAGAGAUGGUGAACGAGAAGCGCUGCAGCAGCAUCGCGACGACGGUCUUCGCCUCCAGCAUCGCGAAGUUCUGCCCGAUGCACGACCUGGGGCCGAUCGAGAACGAAAGCAGCGCGUUCGGGUGGUUGGCGGCCCUCGAGACCCCGUUCUCGAACCUCGACGGGUCGAACUUGUCGGCGUCGGCGCCCCACACCACCUUGUCGCGGUGCAUCAUCAUGAUCGGCAUUGCGACCACGGUGCCUCUGGGGAUCUUCAGGCCCGCCAGCUCCAUGUCUUUGGCUGUUUUCCUUUGUAGUUGGACCACUGGACCGUACAGCCUCAGGGUCUCAAAGAGAACCAUUGUCACCUACAUGCAUGCAUUAUAAGGGCAUAAUCUUAAAUAUAUAUCUCUUCUAAUAUAUAUUGCUUGUUUUGGUCUCUAUACGUAUAACUUUCUAUGUAUAUACAUAGUUCAGUUCCUGAACUUCCACGUACAUAUAUAUAUAUAUAUAUAUAUAUAGAGAGAGAGAGAGAGAGAGAGAGAGAGAGAGAGAGAGAGAGAGAGCUACUAUAACAUACCAAUUUUAACUUGCUGAGCAUAUCUGCAUUAGGAACUUCAUUUCCACACUCCCUCAUCACCUCCUCCCUGAGCCUCUCCUGCCACUCAUGGUGUGUGCUCAGGAGGAACAUGGUCCAAGUUAGAAGGUGCGACGUCGUCUCGUGGCCCGCGAAGAAGAACGUCUUGCACUCGUCGAUGAUCUCGUCCAUGCUCAAUCUAGAAUCCUCUCUUUUCUCGUCACGGUGGUCCGUCGACGUGCAAGCCUCGAGCAUCAACCCCAGCAGAUCAUUCCCGUAGCCAGUUUCUUUCGUGUUGAGCCGUGAUUGUAUUAUUUGCAUCAGCAUUGUCCUCACCUUCCUUUCUAAUUCCCAUUUUUGUAGAUUCUUGCUAGUUGGAAGAUACCUACAUGAACAAGAAUGAUACCGUCAAUUCUCGGCCCACAUGUUUCAUCACACCUCACGACGAGACGAAACGUAUAAUGAUAUAUAUAUAUAUAUAUAUACAUACUCAUAAGUUGUUUUCGAUGAUGAAUCUUCCGAACCUACGAUCCACUCCGUUAAAUAUGAUCUAGAAUAUUUGAAACUUCUAGAGAAUAAAUUUCGUAAUUUUUCGAACUCAUAAUAAAGUCCAUCAAGCGGGCAUAUAUAAAAUGAACGGUCAAAAACGAACGACGUCCUAAAAUUGGAUGAUAGUAUCCUUCAAUUUAAGAUCGAAGUUAUUGGUCUUUAUCUAGGUAGUGAAUAGAAUUUUCUAUCAAAAAUUCAACUUAUUCCGAUUCUUUUCCACCGUUAAACUAGCAAGUAUCACAUACCGGCCGUUAAAAAUUGUCAAUUUUGUGAGCUUUUAAUCGUAAGGUAAAUAAUGUCGAAAAAUUAUGAAAUUUAAUUUCUAGAAGUUUUAAAUUCUCUAAAAAAUGUUUAACGGUAUGGAUCGUCGAUUCAGAAGUUUUAUCAUCGAAAACAACUUAUGAGUACGAAGGCGAUCGUACUCAUAAGAGUAUAGUAGCCGGACUCUCUCUCUCUCUCUCUCUCUCUAUAUAUAUAUAUAUAUAUAUAUAUAUAUAGUCCGGCUGGGAUACUAUCGAUAGCACAAAGCAUUUGGUGCUACCAAGUUUUCUACCGUUAGAUUUAUCUCUUUUAUUAUUUUCAACCAUUAGAUUAUACUAUUCAACCAACCACCCACUCAACCCUAGGGGGCCCACAUCAUCCUAACCGCACAUCUUUUAAUCCAAUUAAUGGUAGAAAACUUAAUAGUACCAAGUCAUUGGUACUAUUAAUAAUAUUCCAGCCUAGUUCUAUAUAUAUAUAUAGAGUCCGGCUGGGAUACUUUCGAUAACACGAGGUAUUUGGUGUUAUCAAGUUUUCUGCCGUUAGAUUUACCUCUUUUAUCAUUUUUAACCGUUCGAUUAUACUAUUCAACUAACCACCCACUCAACCCUAGAGGGCCCACAUCAUCCUAACCACACUUCUUUUAAUCCAAAGGUAGAAAACUUAAUAGCACAAAGUCAUUGGUGCUAUAUAGAGUUCAGCUAUGGUGCUUGUAAAAGCUCCAAGCACUUGGUGCUUGUGAGUUUUUUACCGUUAGAUCUACUCUUCGGAUCAUGUUCAACCAUUAGAUUAUACUAUUCAACCAACUACUCACUCAACCCUAGGGGGCCCACAUCAUCCUAACUACAUAUCUCUUAAUCCAAUGGCUAAAAACCUACAAGCACUAAUGUAUUGGUACUUUUAAAAGCAUAGGAGCUCAAUUCUAUAUAUAUAUAUUUCUGAUAUCGGUUUGCGGAAUUAACAUAUAUACACUUACUUGAACCCUGGUAUUUGGACAUUGAGAAUGUUGUUCAUGGCUAGAAUCUGAAGGUCUUUUUGUGCAAGAAAGACUUCUUUUCCUUCUUUAUAACUGCUUCCGAAAGCUGUGUGGGAGAUCACAUCGGCAGUCAACUCCUGAAACUGCAAGCUUAGAUCUACUUCUGCUUCCUUGUUCUCAUUUUGGAUCAUCUGCGUCUCCCACUCCUCCAUCAUGGAUCGAGCUAUUUGCGCCAUUUUCGUAGUCAUCAUCUAUAUAUAUACCAUGCAAAAACAUCAAUAUAUAUAUAUAUAUAUAUAAUUAGUUAGCCAAUAACAAUCACCAUAUAUAUCACAUAGUUUAAACUUUGUUGAGUACGUACCUUGAGCUUGUCCAUGGUGAAAGCAGGGUUCACCACCCUCCUGUGGCGAGCCCAAUCUUGGCCAUUUGUGAGGACCAAACCCUUCCCCAAGAGAGCUUGUAUGUUUGGGUGGGGAUCAUUUUUGGCGUAGAACCCAAACUUGUUGGAGAGCACUUGCUUCACCAUGUCAGGGUUGGUGAUUGCCAAAGUUGGUCUUGGUCCAAACCAAAACAAGAAGGUUCCUCCUGUGUGAAACAUAACAUAUAAUUUUUUUUUUUUUUAAAAAAUCACUUUUUUAUAGCUAAAGUUUUAUUAGAACCAAUCCUUAUAAGUCCCUAUCAUAUUUUGAGCUCGAUUACUGUAUCCACCAUUUUAUUACAUAUAUAGCCAUCUAUUUUUGUUAUCCUUUAGUCAGUCGACGUGACAUAGUUCACCUGAUAUAUGUAUACCCACCAUAUGCGAAUGCGUGAGCAAAAAUAUUAAGACUAAUUCUGCACCAGUUUUUGCUCAAUUAUUUUUUUGAGAUAAUUUAUUAGAAAUAAAAGUGUUAAAUAUUAGUUCAUCUGAUCGUGCGUGAGCAGAAAUAUUAAGACUAAUUGUGGACCAAUUUUUACUAGAUCGUCAGUUGACAUGAUCAUAUAGUUCAUCUGAGAUAUGUCCAUCAUGCGUGCCCAUGAGCAGAAAUGUUAAGACUAAUUCUGUACUAGUGUUUACUAGAUUGAUCUUUUAGUCAGACGUCGACAUGAUAUAGUUCAUUUGAUAUAUGUCCAUAAUAGGCGCGCUGUUUGAAGUGAAAAAAAAAAAAAAUUUUUUGAAACCGAUUAGAUUCAGACUCAAACAAUUUUUAUAGGUCUCAUGUUGACCAGAAAAUUUUGGGGCCAAUAAUUACAAUUUAAAAUCCACAAUAGGCCCAUUAAUAAAUGUGAGUGGGUGAGCCCUUACGAAAGCCCAAACAAAUAAAUAAAAAAAGUGAGGGGGGGGGCUUUAUUUCAGCCCGUUAUCAUUUGAGCCCAAUAAAUUAAGGUGGGUCUGAUCAGCGACGGCCCACACCCACACCUUAUAAAGUAUCUAGUCGAAAUCCGAUUUCAAAUCAUAAUCCAUUCAAAAUUCAAAUUUUGAAUUUUGAACCCCCAACAAAUUACCAAAAUAGCCUCCAAUAAUCCAUUCAAAAUUCGAUUUCGAAUUUCGAAUUCCUCAACCAUUUACCAAAACAUCAUCCAACAAUCUAUUCGAAAUUCGAUUUCGAAUGUUGAAUUCCCUAACCAAUUCCCAAAAUAUCAUCCAAUAAUCCAUUCAAAAUUCGAUUUCGAAUUUUGAAUUCCCUAACCAAUUCCCAAAAUAUCAUCCAAUAAUCCUUCAAAAUUCGAUUUCGAAUAUUUUGAAUUCCCCUAACUAAUUCCCAAAUAUCAUCCAACAACUCCAUUCAAAAUUCAUUUCGAAUUUUGAAAUUCUUAACACACCCUCCCUCCCAUAUAUAUAAAUACGGGAACCGAAAUCAAAUUCGGAUUUUUUUUUUGGAGAAGAGAUCGAUUCACGAUAGUAUAAUUGCUACACACCACUUCCAAGUUCAAAUAUUCAAAAGAGAAGUCCGAUGUGGACAAUCAAGCUCCGCUAGUGGCUCAUAUUUUCCAUAUUAACUAAAAAAAUUUUAGACAACAUGCCUCCAACACCUUUUUUUCUUAUUUUUUUCAAAAAAAUUUGUAUUUUUUUUUUUAUUUAUUUUGCUCGAGAAGCCAAUUGACGAUUGCCUAAUGCCAUCCCGAACCCUAAGGUGAGUUAGUAUUCCGUCUAGGCAAAGAUAUAUUUUAGGUAAAUAGAAAAUACUGGGAUUAUUUUUUAUUUUAUUUGCCGUCGAGAACAUCGAAAUUCUGGCGCAUAACCCGACCCUAAGGUGAGUUAAGCAUGUCGCGUCAAUGUUUGAUCUGCCCCCGGGGCAACGAAUGACCACCUCCACGGUCGAUGAUUUAGGCCGAUAGGUAAGCUAUUCAUGAAUUCAGAUGAGUCAUUUAUAGUAUGUGUGGUGAUCAGUAUUGGCGAGUCCAUUGACUUCGCAAUAGAUGCCAGCACUAAUGUUAGAUUACCCCUGAGAUUGGGGAAACCUUCCGAUUAAGAGACCUUUAUAUUGGCUUGGAUGAGGAUGGAGUCGUAUCUCGAUUAUUUGAAUCCUAAGUAUAAGUAUAUUAAGGAUUCAGUUGGAUCGUGAGGUUGUAUUAAGUGGCCUACAGUAUAUGUGUUAAGACCUAGAUCGAUAUUGAAAACUCUAUGUAUUAAGAGUCUAAUGGUUCUGAGAAUAUGGGUAUGAAUUGGGUAUUUGGUUCAUGGGAUUCUGGUAUUAGGUUGGAUGUAUAGUUCACAUGGAUUUUAGUCCAUAAAUUUGUGUAUGGUUUAGUGGGGUUUGGUCCAUCGAGACUUUAGUUGUGUCAUGGAUUUGGUCCAUGAGGGUUUGGUUUGGCUCUGGGAUUUGGUCCAUAGAGAAUUAGUUAGUUCAUUGAAAUUUGGUCCAUGGAGGUUGAUUUUGGCUCCAUGGAUUUGGUCCAUGAGAUUUGGUUUUGGUCUGGCUUUGGUCCCCAUGAGGUUUGUUUUGGUCUAUGGAUUUGUCCAUGAACUUGGUUAUUUGGCUCAUAGAAUUUGGUCCAUGAGUUUGGUUCUUGGCUGCAUGGAAUUGGUCAUGAAAUUUGUUGUUUUGCUCAUGGGAUUUGGUCCAUGAGGUUUGGUUUUGGCUCAUGGGAUUUGGUCCAUGAAAUUUGGUUUUGGCUCAUGGGAUUUGGUCCAUGAGAUUUGGUUUUGGUUCAUGGGAUUUGGUCCAUGAACUUGGUUUUGGCUCAUGGGAUUUGGUCCAUGAGAUUUGGUUUUGAUUCAUGGAAUUUGGUCCAUGAGGUUUGGUUUUGGCUCAAAUGACGGAAUGCUAACUCACCUUAGGGUCGGUUAUGCGCAACAAUUUCGAUUGCUUCUCGAGGCAAAAUAAAUAAAAAUAAUCCAUAUUUUCUAUUACCUAAAAUAUAUUUUGCCUAUGACGGAAUACUAACUCACCUUAGGGUCGGUUAUGCAUGGCAAUUUCAAUUGCUUCUUGAGGCAAAAUAAAAAAAAAAAAAUACAAAUUUUCUGAAAAAAAAAAGAAAAAAAGGUGGAGGACAUGUUGUCUAAAUUUUUAGAUAAUAUAGGCAAAAUAUGAGCCACCAGCGGACUUGAUUGUCCACAUCGGACUUCAAGGGUAAGAUUGCAAAAAGUCCCCGGCUGUGGUAUAACCCACAGGCAAAAUUGGGAUCCCCGCUGUGAGAAAAUCUUUCGAGACUCACAGGCAAAAGUUAGGGGAAGGUACCUGGUGAAAACCCAUAUGGGCGCCAGAUUACCCAAGAUAUAUUUUGCCUAUGACGGAAUGCUAAUACACAAACUUAAACUGCAAAUUAAGUUCAUAUGCGAACCCAAAUUGCAAAUUAAGUUCAUAUGUGAAUCCAAAUUGCAAAUUAAGUUCAUAUGCGAACCCAAAUUGCAAAUCAAGUUCACCUCCAAACCUAACCAAACCAAGUCCAAAUAAGCAUCCAAACCAAAACCCAAAACCCAAAUAAACCCAAACCAAACCAAGUCCACAUACAAAGCCAAACGGCCCAAACCUAACCAAACCAAGUCCAAAUAAACAUCCAACCCAAAACCAAAAUAAAUCGAAACCAAACCAAGUCCACAAAUAAAAUCCAAACCCAUUCCCCAAAUAAGACCAAAACCCAAACCCAAAUAAAUCCAAACCAAGUCCACACAUAAAACCAGAACCCAAACUCGGACCCAAAUAAAACCAAAUCUCAUGGACCAAAUCCCAUGAGCCAAAAUCAAAACCUCAUGGACCAAAUCCCAUGAGCCAAAACCAAAUUCAUGGACCAAAUCCCAUGAACCAAAACCUCAUGGACCAAAUCUCAUGAACCAAAACCAAACCUCAUGGACCAAAUCCCAUGAGCCAAAACCAAACCUCAUGGACCAAAUCCCAUGAACCAAAACCAAACCUCAUGGACCAAAUCCCAUGAGCCAAAACCAAGUUCAUGAACCAAAUCCCAUGAACCAAAACCAAACCUCAUGGACCAAAUCCCAUGAGCCAAAACCAACUUCAUGGACCAAAUCCCAUGAACCAAAACCAAACCUCAUGGACCAAAUCCCAUGAGCCAAACCACGCGCAUGAGCAGAAAUGUUAAUUAAGAGUAGUUCUAGACCAGUUUUUACAGGAUUGACUUUUUAGUCCGUGGACAUGAUAUAGUUCAUCUGAUAUAUGUCCAUAAUAAGCGCGCAUGAGCCAAAAUGUUAAUUAGGCUAACUCUAAACCAAUUUUUAUUAGAUUAACUUUUUAGUCGGUCAACAUAAUAUAGUUCAUCUGAUGCACAGAAAUGUACAAAUUCUGGACCAGUUUCUACUAUAUAGAUUGAUGGUUUAAAUAACUUAUUAGAAAUAAAAGUGUUACAGGUAAGAUAUGAAAAAGGGAAUCAUCUUUCACACCUCCAAUACAACACACAAAGAGACAAAUUUUGCUUAGUGCGUGCGUACGACCAUCUUUUCUUUUGUUGUUGAAGUCAAUAUUAUCCACACAAUAACCAAAUCACAUAUAUAAUUAAUACAUGCACACUACAACAAAAACGAUAUAUAACGACACUUUUAAAUAUCAGUAUAAGUAAAAAUAAAAGUGCUGCUGGCUAAAUUACCGACACUUUUAAAAAGUGUUGCUAUAUGUGAGGUCGCUAGGUAUAUAGUGACAAUUAAAGAGUGUCGCUAUAAUCUAAAAGAGUGUUGCUAAUUUACCAAUAUUUAUUUAAGCAUCUAGCAACAACCGAAACUCUAUCUCGUUAGCUGCAGUGGCGGAGUAGACUAGAGGAAGGGAUGAGGAGAAGGAGAAAUGGUAAUCGAUUUUUCUUUUCUUUUUCUUUUAUUUUUUUUUUCUGUUUGUAAUCGGACCGAAUGGGCUGGGUGGGGUGGGUUGAGUAGAGUACCCUUUUAUUUUUAGUUGGAUUAGACUUUAUAUUUAGGCAUUAGUACGUUUUUUUUUUUUAAGUUUUGACAUAAAUAUGACACUUACAUAAAAGUGUUCCAAAUAUGUGUUCCUAUAACCUAAUUCUGUUAUAGUGACACUCAUAAUAAUAAAUAAUAAGCACCUAUUAACUAAGUCCAAAUAAAAAAAUAAUAAUAAUUAUGCAAUUAAUAAAAUGAACAAUUAUACCAAUUCUCUAAAAAUUAACUUAUUAAAUACUCAAUUUUCCAGAAUGGGUAUUAUUGAUGUGUUGGCAUAUACAAUAUAAAAUAUUUCGCUCAGUUUAUUUAUAUAAAUUUAAAGUGUUAUAGGAAUUUGGUAAACCCAAAACAAUAUGUAGUAGUUGGCCUUACCAAUUUAUAUAUUGUGGAUGGUGUUCUUUCAAAAGAAUAAAAUAAUAAUAAGAAAAUACUUAUAUAAUAAACAAAAAAAAUUUGGCCAUUAUUUAGAAAAGCAUGUUCUAGUAAUUAAUGCCCCCUCCACCACCACAAGAGAAAAAAAAAAGAAAGAAAAGAAAAGAAAAGAAGAAGAAGAAGAAGAAGAAGAAGAAGAAGAAUUAAAAUUGUUUGUACACUAAACCAAAAUCUUUAAUGCAUUAUCUUAUCUUAUCUUUUUUACCCAAAAACACUUGGUUAGAAUUCGAGUUCUAGUUGGGAGGACUCAAAAUUUUUCGAUUCGCAUGCAAUAUAUAAUUAAUAAUAAUAAUAAAAAAAAACAAAUAAGAAAUCUAAAAGAUCAGAGAUGAAAUUAAGUAGUAAUUAGAACAUACCAUAUUGCGAAAUCCAUUUGGGAUAGUGAGGCAAAAUCCUUGUGGUGAAAUCAUGUGAGUGUAUGUCCAACACAAUCCCCUGAGCUUCUCUUUUCAUUCUCUUGAUCUCCUCAGUUGAUCCUACCCAUAGCUUGUACUCGGGCCCCUCGAUCCCUUGAUCCCUAAACUUUUUACUUAUUACGUACGGCCUCCACAGCACAGAUGCCAAUACGCUCCAGAUCCUCGGAAUAAGCACCACAAAAAUAGAUCCCAAUAUCAACCCAACAACAUAAGUUGUAUCCAUUUUUUCCUUUUUUUUCUCUCUUUUUGGUGUUGCUCACCAAAGAAGUGUUGUGUGUAGGAUCAACUUGGUUUAGAGAUGGUGUAGUGGUGUUUAUUUAUGUGGGGUAUUUAUAUUACAAUGGGGAACAUAGAUGCUUGUGUUUUAAUUGAUUGAGUAAUUGACUGAUUGAUUUGUCCUGUUUGCUUUCCUUUUGCUUGGAAAUGAGAUCAUGGGUGAUGUAAGCUAGGGACGAAGCCAGAAUUCAAUCACAAGGGGGGCCAAAAUAUGUACAAAUAAAAAAUUUAGCAGAUAAAUAAAAUUUUAACUACUCAAAUUUUUAAUAAAAAAAUUUAGUGAUUAGAUAAUUAAUAUUAAAAAAUAUUAAAUUUAUUUCUUUAAUUUACACUCGCUUAACUUCUAAUUAUUUUAUUUAUAUUAUUUCAUUCAAAUAAUUUAAGAAUUUUACUAAAUCUAAUAGCAAUUUAGUUAGAAUUUAAUUUUUUAAAAUUUUUAUUAAUAAAAUAAUAACAACCAAUGACUAAUAUUUAACAGAGCUAUUAAAUUUAGCAUACUAUUUUAUUUAGUUAAAUAAAUUAGCUCAUCAAAAUAAUUGGAAAGUUAAGAAUAUAUAAAUAAAAUAUUUAAAGUUGNUAAUUAAAAGGUUCUUAAUAUAUUUUUACCUAUAAAACACAUAAGAAGAGAGAGAGCUUCUAUAUUAGCACUAAAAACUUUUUACAAAAUAGGCCGAUAUAUUUUAAAAAUUAACUAAAAAUAUAUAAACUACUAAAGGACUAUAAAGUAAAUAUUGAAAAGUUGAAAAGGGCCCUGGCUCCUUUGGGUCUAUAUAUGGUCCGUCCUUGUGCGUAAGCCUUGGAGUCUUGGCCCACAAGCCAACAAUUCUUUUCAAAAAAAUUUCACUUUGGUCCCCUAAAUUUAUAAUAUUUUAAUUUUUUUAAUAGCUUACUAGUGGAUUGUUCUCUAAUUUUAAAAAUAUGGGGGGGCCCCCACAUGGCUUGCAAGCCAAAGAAAACUCUGAGGGGGAUAGUGAUGCAUGGGGAUAAACAAAGAGGUUAAUUUGUUUGAACAUUGAACAUUUAUAUGUGUGGUGGGGGGUAUAUGGCAUGUGGAGGUGGUCUACUAAUUAAUUACCAACUAGCACUAAUAAAAAGAUUAAUUAUUGGAAAUUAAUAGUUAAUUAGUACAUGGAAGUAUCUAGAUUAUGAAACAUGCAUGCAACUAUUUUUCUUCGUAAUUAAUUAGUUUGUACUCAGGACCGCAUGCUCUAAUGUCAUACUAAAAAAUCAUAUGAAAGAAUCAUAUAUUGUCACUAUAAUAAAUCUGGUACUUAAGGACACUUUAACUAACAAUUAGCAACGCUUUAAAGCGUCGGCAAGAAUUAAUAACCCUAAGUAAACAUGUCGGAAUAAAUAUAUUGACGCUUCAAUAUAGCAUCGAAAAAUUUUUAGCAGUAUUUGAUAAAAAUAUAUGUUUAUUAGCGACGCUUAAUUAUGAUGUAGGCACACGCCAAAUAUUGAAUAUAUUAGAAUAUAUAUAGUGUUGUCUAAAAAGUAUCGUUUAAAACAUAUAUAUUAAAAGUUUAAACUGGUAGAGAAAUUAAUACUACUUUUAAUGCAUUUAAUCAACAAGGGAAAUGCUUAAUUUGGGUCUCCAAAAAUAUUACUCUUAUAUAUAUACAGCUAUCUAUACCUAUACAUUAUUUUUCCUAAUUUUUUUGCCACGUGGCGAAUUCUCCUUCACUUUUUCUCUUCUCUCAUCUAACUUUUUCAUCCAAUGUUUCAUCUUCCUAAACUCCCAUCUCUCAAUUAAUGUGCUUACAUAAUAUCAUCUCCAUCCAAUGCUUCAUCUUUCUAACCCCCCACCCAAUGCUUCAUCUUCCUAACCCCCCUAUCUCUCAAUUAAUAUGUUUACAUGGUUUCAUCUCCAUUUCUCCUUUUUUUUUUUCAUAUUGUUUUUUUUUUCUCCCCCCUAUCUCUCAAUUAAUAUGUUUACAUGAUUUCAUUUCCAUUUCUUCAUUUUUUUUUUCAUAUUAUUUUUUUUCUUUUUUUUCUUAGCGCACAAAAAGGGCUCAUGUUUUAUAACUUUUUUAAAUUUUUUGUUGUGUGUGGAUUGAAAUUAGGAUUUCAAGGAUCGCGACGGAGCGCUGGAUUUGGAGUCAGUGAGAGAAAGAAGCAGAGGAUGUGGAUACGGGAUUGAUAUGGUUGUGACUAAAGAGGAGCUCGACACUAACGGCGAAGGCGAUAUAAAGAUCGAAAUUUGCCUCUCCGAUGUCGAUAGUGCAAUGAAGAUGUGUGUGGGGUAAAAAAAAUUUUAUUACUUAUUUUAUUAUUAUUACGUGUGAUUUAUUUACCAAAAUUAUAAAUUUUAUUAUAUCUAUACCUAUAUCUAUUUUAUAUUUUAUAUUUGUGUUUAUUUAAGUUCCAUAUCAAAUCAAAAAAUUUAAAAUUUUUAUUUUAUUUAUAUUUUAUAUUCUAUAAUAUCAUUCCGUCGCAAUGCGCGGGUAACUUCACUAGUGUUCAUAAAUACAUGUGAUACCUUGGUGAAUGUGCGUGCAUAAACCAGUCAAAGACAUGCAGCUACAUAAUUAUAUACGUUAGCAUAUAUAUUGACAACAUAUAAUAACCAGCAUGUAAUGCUUUUGUAUCACUCUACGCAUGAAUCAAGAAGGUGUUAUGCAUGUAUAUGACUCUUAAUCCAAAGUAUAUCGAUCUAAUCAAAUUUGCACACCUUGCGAAGAGGGAAAAGGUUAAAUUUUCUUUCUUGCUAAAUGUAAAAUUUUAUAAUUACGGUAUCAAAGCAGCAGAUCUUCUAAUUAAUAAUCUCAUCUAAUUCUCUUCUAUUUGAUAAAUCUCUAUAUAUUAUAUAUUGAAUAAUAUAUAAUAUCAUAUGGCAUCAGAUCAGUCGAUUCUGAACUCUCACCGUCCCGUAAAAUCGUCGCGUUUUGAUACUCACCUUUAAUAUUUAACUAAAUUAAAUGAUAUCAUAGUUUCUAGAAGGCCGAGGAUAUUUGACGUGGUCGAGACCACAGUUAGUUAAUUCGCGUUUAAUACGCGAAUUAAACGGCGAUUUUUUUACAUACGAAUUAAACGGCGAUUUUCGUUUUUUUCCGAAAAAAUCGAAAAAAUACGCGAUUUCUUCCUCAAAAAUCAUUAUUCGCGAAUUAUUCGCGAUUCGCGAAUAAUUCGCCCAAAAACUCGGCGAUCGCGAUUGCGGUCGCGGACUCGCGGCCGAGGGUCGCGUCGUCGCCGGCUCGCCACUUGUGUCGUCGCUGCUCUCGUGGCCGCUCGUGUUGUUGCCGCUCGCAUCGUGGUCGUCCUCCGCCGCUCUCGCGGGCGCCGGGAGCAAGGUCGCGGCAGCGGAUCCCAUCUCCUCGCCCGAUGCCGUUUUGGGAAAGUGGAAGUUAAACAGUAAUUUUUGCGGGGCUUUUGGGAGCAUGGAGAUGCGCAGUCCACGAGGCUAUUUCAGCCUCCUGGACCGCAUGAGGGGGAGGUCCACAGUGGACCUCCGUCUCAUAUAUANUAUAAUUUUUAUUUAUAAAUAUAUAUUCAUUUAUUAUAUAUAUUAUUUUAUUUUUAUAUAUAAAUAUUUAUAUAAUAUUUUAUUUAUAAAUUUAUAAUUAUUUAUUACUAUUUUUAAAUAUAUAAAUUUUAUGUAUUAUUAAUAUAUGUUUAUUAUUAAUAUAGGAAUAUAUUUAAUCUAUAUAUAAAAAUUAUAAUAAUAAUAUAUAUAGUAAAUUAAUAUUUAUAUACUUAUUAUAUAGCCGAAUUUUUGAUCCCGAAUUUUUAAUUGGUGAACGUAUUAUAUCCGUAUAAAUUACAUAUCCGAAUAAUUACCGAACCCGUUUUUUAGCCGUAUUUUUCAACGAAUUUAAAAAUUAAAAAAUAAAUUUUAUCCGAAUUAUAUCCGUACCGAAUUUUUGCCGAAUCCGAAUUAACUAACUACGGUCCAAACUAUGUACGUAGGACGAGCCAGGCAUCAGAGGAAAAGAAAGAUGGUGCACAUAUCAUUGUUUGCACUAAUUAUUACAUUUAUUUAUGUUUAUUUAUUUAUUCCAAAAAAGUGAGUGGCUUCUAGAAGGCUUGUGAUAUUGCUAUUCCAGGUGCGCUCGAUCUCUACUAGAUUCUCUUUUCGUCUUUAUCAUUGUCCUUUUAUUUUGCAUGUGCAUUCACGGAUCAGUGUAAAGGAUAUAUAUUAGUCAUUUACAAGAUAAAGUAAAAAUAUUGUUCCCUAUAAAAUGCAAAAAAAAUUUUAAAUAUCAUCCUUGUUGUUUCGCACUUUCUCACUUUAAUAUCUUAUAAUAUAAAAUAACCGACCGUCCCUAGCGCAAGUGGCAAAAGGACUUGGUAGUUGGUACCCGAGAUCCAAGUUCGAAUUUUAGUUGAUUCACAUUUCCAGCUAAGUUUAUUUCUAAAUGAAAUAAAUGAAGCGGGCAGCAUACUACCUUUCUCUUAAAAAAAAAAAAUCUUAUAAUAUAUAUAAAGUAUAUCAAUUUAGCGUACGUCCUAUGGUUUCAUUUUUCUUUUUUUGUUUGCUCCCCCGUUAAUAUUUUGUUAAAUUAGAUAUAUACCAAAAACUUUAGAUACGCUAUUUAGGUUUAUUGAAUAUUCAUUUUAGUAUAUUUUAGUUUUAACUUUGUCACUAAUUUAACGAAAAAAAAUAGUGGAGAGGAUAAUAAAAACAAAAAAUAAAACCACGAGGUACUAAAAUAAAAAAAGUGGGAGACCAUAGGGUGGUAUUUGAAGUUUUUUCUAUAAUAUAUGUAGCAUAUUUUUGCUUAAUAGUUUAAGUUUGUGGGUUGGAUGUGAGUCUUUUAGAUACAGUGAUACAGGCUUAAACCGCAUUGAGAGGAACGAAGUAUAAGAACAAAAAUAGAGGAAUAUACAAAAAACCAUUUCUGCGACAAAGACGAAAAUAUUAUUAAGCAGCUUUGAAAAUUGAUUACAUGCAUUAAUCGAACGCCAUGUUUGUAUAUAGAGGUGAUACCUGAAUCCUACUAGAAAUGAAAAUAAUAAAUCCUUAUAUAUCUCUAAAUCUAAUCCGAUUAGAAAUAAUCAAAUAAUCGAAUUCAAAUAGGAAAAAAACAAAACUCCGAAAAUAACCUAAUAAAAACGCAAAAGCUGAGGCGAAAACAAGCGAAUUUGGGUCUCAAACUUGGCUGGAACUGCUUUGCCAUUCGACGUGCAGAUUUCGAAAAGUGUUUUCCGAAUUGGGAUUGCACGCUGAAAUCGGAUGCUUAGCGAAAAGUUAUGACUAUUUAAAGAUUUUUUGUAAAAUUCUCGUUUUCCGUUCCAUUUGGUAUGUAUCACGUUUUCCCAAAAACCCUAAUGAUAAAUUGGCCACAUAAUAUAGUAUUAGAACCUGAUUUACACACCUUAAUUUAGGGCCCGCCGAGUAGACGAGUGCUAAUUGCGUUUAACAUGUGGAUUGCAUUUAUAUCAUGGUACAACUAAGUUUAUUUAUAAAUGAAAUAAACGAAACGGAUAGCAUGCUACCUAUAUCUCAAAAAAAAAAAAAUUAUAUCAUGUAUAUAUAUAUAUAGAUAAUAAGAGAGAGAAAACAAGGGAAGAGAAGUAGAGAGAGAGAGAGAGAGAAGAAAGUAUGAGAUCAGAGAAUAGGACUAUAUCGAUAGUGCUUUUGAUGUUUUAACCGUUGAGUGAAAAUGGUAGGGUUGAGUGAUGAUGGUAUUGUGUAGCGUAGAAUAUGUUUGAUUCAAAAAUAUAAAUAAUUGGGAGUAGAUCCAAGAAUUUUCUUAGAACUUAGAAGCACCGAGGAUGUGGUGUUUUUAAAAGUAUUAGCUCAAUAUAUAUAUAUAUAUAUAUAUAUAUAUAUAUAUAUAUAUAUAUAUAUAUAUAUAUGGUUGACGAUUCAUAUGUAGGCUAUUGUCUGAUCACAUUGAGUCUGUGCCACAUGUAUGCCAUUAACGUCUAACAGGUGUUAAGGAAGAAUUAAUUAUUAAGAAUAAUAGCCUUAUAUCGAUUACAAAAUAUCAUUUUAGAUCUUUGGAUUUUUCAAAAUAUAAAAAUGGUGCUUUUAGCAAGUCUAUGCUUUUCAGAUUGUAUUGAGUUUCAAAAGAUAUCUCACAUAUUCUUAGUUUUUCGUGUCUUAGCUCUCGACCCAUUUUUCCUAACAAAUACUAGUAUUAAAGCUAGCAAUUUGAAACUUACGGCUGAAACUAAGUUUUUAGUAGUUAAUUAACAACUAUUAAGACUACAUCUGGAUCACAUUUUAUCAGAUUUAUCUUUCAGAUAAUAUAAUAAUAUAAGAGUGAGACAUACUGCCCUCCUUUCUAUUCCAAAAUGCUCUGCAUUCGAUUUCUACAUCUGCUAUAAACUCUUAACACGAUGCCAAUAUUAUAUAAAAUUGAUUGAUCAACUAUAUUUUUAUAAUAUUGGUUGAGUAGUUCUUAGAUUGGUGUUCUUAGAUGAGUCCAUAGAGACUUUUAAAAUGUGGGCUAUUGGUCUUCCUAGGUUGAUCACUACAAUUCUUAAGGUGUUAGUACUAUACUAGUUAUUUUAAUUAUAUAUUUUUAUCUCAAUAAUUAAUUUUUUUUUUUCCCCAUAAGUAACCUUAGUUGACUUUGACAAUGACACUUUCUUAAUUACGUGCAUCCCAAGUUUCUAGAUCCAAUCCCACUAGACAAAGCAAAAGAAACAAUUUGAAUUGAAAGACUCCACUAUAUCUUUAGUACUUUUUUAAUUAGUCAUAUAAAUUUUUAAUUUUGAAAAUUAAACUUUCUGAGUAUGUCUCUAUCAUCAAUCAAAGUUAUUAAUUAUACACGUGUUUUUUUGACUUAUCCUACUCUUAAAUCUCGGUAUUUGUAUAAUUACCAUAAUUCGAAGAGAAAACAAUGGUAUUUUUCUUUGUAUUUUAAAGUUUUGCAAAAUUAUAUACAAUUCAAGCGGCUAAAACGGCUAUAUAAUUAGUAACUUCGUUUGAGCACAAAGACUUAUUGAGCUAUUGAUAAAGUUCUGAGAGCCAAAUCGGCCAAGUUAAAUGUUUAGACGUCUAUAUGCAAAACAAAAUAAAAAAGCUAAAAUUCAAGGGCGCUUAAUUUUGUAUUUUUUUUUUUUCAAAAUUUAAUUAGGUCGAGGUCAUGUUUAAAAGUCAGAAUAAGUUACACAAGUAUAACUUAAUUAGCUAUAUAAAAUUAUCAAAUGUGAUUGUAAGAAAAAUAAAUAAUUGGGAUAACUUCAAAAACCCUCCGUGGUUUCGCAUUUUCUCACUUUAGUACCCUAUGGUUUAAAAUAUAUCAAUUUGCCCUCCCGUGGUUUGGUUUUUCUCUUUUUAUUAUCAAUUUUAUUAUUAUUUUUUCUUAAAUCAGUGACAAAGUUAAAAUUAAAGGGUACUAAAGUAAAUAUUCGAUAAAUCUAGGUGGGUAUCUGAAGUUUUUUACAUAUAAUUUAAUAAAAUAUUAAGAAAAAAAGCUACCGAAAAGAUAAAAAUAAAACCAUAAGAGGGCAAAUUGAUACACUUUAAACCAUAAGGUUCUAAAGUGAGAAAGUGUGAAACCACGGGGGAUUUUUUGAAGUUUUUUCUAAAUAAUUUUAACAACUUGAAAGAUUUUGAUAUUCAUGAUUUGGUCGGAGAAUAUAUAUAUAUAUAUAUAUUUCUCUUAGGAGGAAAAUUAUAUUAUCGGAAACNAUUCAUGAUUUGGUCGGAGAAUAUAUAUAUAUAUAUAUAUUUCUCUUAGGAGGAAAAUUAUAUUAUCGGAAACAAUGACUUGAAGGCUGAAUAUAAUAUUCAGUUCUAAAUAUUUGAUCACUCUUCUCAUCUACCCAAUUUACAAGCUUCUCAAAUAAAUCAUGAAGAUAUACCAAGUAAAAUAUUUAUACAUCCAAACACGGCCUAAAUAAAAAAGAUAUUAGAUAUAAUAUUUUAAAUAAUCUCUCUUUGGCAUAUCUUUCAGUAUCUUUUAAUGUUCUCCGACUUAAUAUUGUCCAGACGUCUUGGUUCUAUCAAAUAACCUCGAGUACAAACAUGAGAGGGAGUAUUGAAUACUGAGAAUACCUGUUGUUUCAAAAUUAAAAAGCCCUCCAUGCAUUUUUCUUGUUGUAAUUUGGGAUUGAUGAAGAAAAAUAAAAGGGUAGAGGCCGGAUAUUAAUUGAUACAAUUUGUAAGGGGUAGGGGGUUCUUUUAUAAUUUAUUCUAUAACAACAAUAGUAAAAAAAUUCAGCUACUGUCCUUUUGGGAGAACAAUGAUUCUACUUUUUAAAAUCAGAAAACUGAUUUUGAAAGCUCCAUAAUCACAAGCAGGAAAAAGCUGCUUUUCCAAAACUGAUUCUGAUUUUGAACUCAAACUUCUAAUUUUUAUUUUAUUUUAGAUUCAAAGUAUAAAUUUAACAUUAAAUUUAAAUUUUGAAAUUUUAAAUUCAUAUUUGAAUUUUUAAAUCUCAACUUUUCAAAUUUAAAAUUUAACAAUAAAAUUUUAAAAUUAAGUUUAAACUCAAUUCAAAUUAAAUUAAUUUAAAUUAAUUUCAAAUUAAUUAAAUUCAAAAUUCAAAUUCAAAAUUUAAAUUUCAAAACAAAAUUUAAAUUUCAAAUUUAAAUGUUAAAUGUACUUUUAAAUUGAAACAUUCAAACUUCAAACAUUACAAAUUGAAUCAAAUUUAACAUUCAAAUUAAAUUAAAAUUCAACAUUUAAUUAAAACCUGAAUUUAAAAUUAAAUGUUAAUUUUCAAAAUUUUAAAUUUUAAUAAUUGAAAAAUUUGAAUAAUUUAAUUAGCAUUUGAAAAUUUAAAUUUAAAUUUGAAAUUUUAAAUUUGAAUUUAAAUUUGAAAAUUUAAAUUAAAUUUUAAAAUUCAGAUUAAAUUUAAAAUUUAACUUCAAAAUUUAUUUGUACCAAUUGAAAUCUAAAAACUUAUACUUUUAAAUUAAAUUUAAUUUUUAUAAUUUAAAUCAAAUUUAAAUUAUUUAAAAUAAAGUUAUAAAAAUAUUAAUAACUUCACAACAUAAAAAUUUUUGCUGCGAAACUAGCUUUCAAGAAAAUUACCUGUCAUAAAAUCAAUUUUUCUAAACAACCAAACGCUCAUAAGCUUUCACCCAAAAAUCAUUUCUCAAACCCAAAAUCACUUUACGACGAAAUCACUUACCAGAACUAGUCACAAACAUGCCCUACAGUCAUAUUAGAUAAUAGGGACUGAAUCGAUAUCUCGCUAUUGUAAAAAUUAAUUCUAUGAACAUUUAAAGUAUGAUAGAAACAAAUUUCAAUAAAUUUUGAAAAAUUAUUUAAGUAGACAGGAUGAAAUGAUCCACAAAAUCGACUAGUUUAACGGCUAUUAGCCGUUUGACUUGUUAAAGGUGUAAGUCAACCAACAUUUACUGAAUUUUGAUAAAAAAAAAAUUUAUACUAUUUAAAUAAUAUUUGCAAUUUCACCUACAAAAGUUUAACAUUCUAUUUUUACAAGAUUUUGCAUUUUGCCUAUUUAUUUUCUUGACGUACUCUUAAAUUAACUUGAGAACAGAAGCUCAAUGUUGCAAUCUACUUAACUUUUCUUGUGCUCAUUUCGUACAAGAAACUAAUCCUAAAGUUGCCUCUUACCGACAUCAGGUACUCUCUCAUACCUCUCUUAUUCCUAGACUUUAUUAACAUCCUUUCGUGGAGGGGAGAAAAGUAUUUUCAAAUAAGAAUUUUCAUACAUGUCUAUAAUAAAUGAGCUGAAAAAAUAUCGCUACAAACUCAACUUUUAUCAUGUCUUUAUGCAACAAGUCCUAAAGUUAUUCAAAUAUCAUCUAUCUGUUACCUACAAUUAGAAAAAGACAAUGUAGAAACCGUUUUAUAUAUUUCAAUUUUGUCAUCACACACAAUAUAAUCUCUAUCCAAACAUAUAACUAUAAUAAACAGAGAUAAAAAUGUCAAAAACUAAUAAUAUUAACAUAUGCGAUUAACCUAACCGUUAUCAUAAUGGAUCUAACACGGCAAACGAAACAUUCUUGUAAAUGUUAAACUUUUGCAAGGAAAAAUAUAUGAAUUUGAACCUUUGUAGGAAAUAUAUUGUUAUGAUCACUAUAUUGUGGACAUAUAUGAAAUAACAACUCUUAAUAAAAAACUCCCCAUUUCCAUAGUUGGUCAACGCGAGACUAUGAAUAAUUAUGUCCAAUUAAGUUAAUUAGUUACAGAUAUCCAAAAUUUUACUAGAAUUUGAAUUCGAAUGGAAUCGAUAAUACAAAAUUAUGCUAUCAUAAACAACAGAAACGAUCAAUCUAUAUUUAUAUAUAUAUAUAUACUAUAAGUAAUAUAUAUAUAUAACUAAUAAUAAUAUAUAAUAUAGUAGUUGGAGGACUGGGCCUACUAUUAGUCAUGAAAUUACACAUUAUUCUUGCCACACGUAUCAUUACUUCUCUUUCCUUAACCUCAACCCAAGAGGAAUCCGAUUAUGUUCUACUAGUUUUUUAGAACUUUUAUACAAACUUCUUUUCAUCUAUUUUGCUCUAAAUACUCAUUAAUGAUUAAAUACUAUAACCCAAGGAGGCUGAUACACCACAUCAACCCUAGUGGAGACCACUAUGCAACUCUAAAUCGAUUAACUAUCAUCCUAAACCCUAUAAAUUUUUUUCCAGGUCAACCAAAUAUCAGUUAAAAACAUGAUACAAAGACGGUUUAACAUUAUUAGAUGCGCCCAAAUCUAAUUCAUAUCAUAUAUUAUUAAAUUGAUAAUAGUUUAUACUAACUACUAUAUCUAACUAUAUAUUAUAUAGAAGAAGAGAAUCAGAGAAGUAGACGAAAAGAGAAUUAGAGAGAGAGAGAGAGGCAAUCUACUAUCCUAGUCUAUCAGCUUACCCGGUAGCCCGAUANNNNNNNNNNNNNNNNNNNNNNNNNUUAUACUUUUAAUUAAAUUUAAUUUUUUAAUUUAAAUUCAAAUUUUAAAUUAUUUUAAAAAUAAAGUUUAGUAAAAAUAUUAAUAUAUGCAAACAUCAAAAAUUUUUUGCCAAACAGCUUUAGAAAAUUACUUCAGAAAAUCAAUUUUUCUAAAUUCAACCAAACGCUCUAUAGCUUUCACCAAAAUCAAUUCUCCAAACCAAAAUCACUUUUACAGAAAUCACUUCUCCAGAAGCUAGGCCAAACAGGCCCUAAGUCAUUUUAGAUAAUAGGGAUUCUGAAUCGAUGAUCGGUACCGUUAAAAUUAAUCUAGAACAUUUAAAGUAUGAAGAAACUAAAUUUCAUAAAUUUUGAAAAUUAUUUAAGUAGCGAUGAAAUGAUCACAAAAUCGAUAGUUUUUAACGGCCUAUGUAAGCCGUUUGCUUGUUAAAGGUGUAGAGCAACCCAAACAACUUGAAUUUUUGAUAAAAAAAAAAUUUUAUACUAUUUAGAUAAUAUUUGAUAAUUUCAAUCAUGAAUUAAAAAAGUUUAACAUCUAUUUUUACAAGAUUAUUCAUUUUUGGCUAUUUAUUUCUUGACGUACUCUUCAAUUAAACUUGAUAACGAAGUUCAAAAUGUUGCACUACUAACUUUUCUUGGUUUCAUUUCGUACAAGGCAAAACUAUUCCUUAAUUGCCUCUUACCAAUCAUGUCUCUCUACCUCUCUUAAUUCCUAGUUUUAUUAAAAGUCUCUUUCUUGGAGGGGAGAAAAGUAUUUUAAAAAAUGAAUUAAUUUCAUACAUGUCCCUAUAAAUACAGUGAUUGAAAAAUAUAUCCCUACAAAGCUCAACUUUUAUAUGUUCUUCAUGCAAAAGUCCUAAUGUUUUCAAAUAUGUCAUUCUGAUUUGUUACCGUUAGAAAACAAUUAGAGAACCGUUUAUAUUUUCAACUUUGUCAUCACAAAUAUAUCCCUCCAAAAACUAUACUAGUAUAAUAUAAAGAGAUAAAAAUGUCAAAAACUAUUAAGUAUUUAACAUAUGGUUAACUAACGUUUUCUAAUGGAUUCUAACGGCAGAAACAUGUUUGAAAAUGUUAGAACUUUUGCAGGAAAAAUAUAUGAAUGUUGAACUUUGUAGAAAUAUAUUUGUUAUUCACUAUAUUUGUUGGGACAUAUAUGAAAUUAACCCUUAAAAAAAAGACUCCCAUUUUCCAUAGUUGGUCGACGCGGACUAGGAAUUAAUUAUGUCAAUUAAUUAAUUAGUACAGAUAUCCAAAAUUUUACAAAAUUUGAAUUCGAAUGGAAUGGAUAUAAAAUGAUGCUAAUUAAACAACAGAAAUGAUAUAUAUAUAUAUAUUAUAUAUUAUAUAAAUAUAAUAUAUAUUAUAAUAUAUAUUAAUAUAUAUUAAUAUAAUUGGACUGGGCUAAGCUAUUAGUAGCAAAAUCCAUAUUGCCUACCAUUUUUUAGGCGCCUUUGAUCACUCUUUUCAUUAUUUCUAACCAUUUGGAUUAAAUAACUUAACCCAGUGAGACACUCAAACCUAGGGACCACUCAAUCUAACCGAUUAAUAUCAUCCUAACAUCUAUAAAAUUUUCAUCCAAUAGGCUAAAACUUAUAGCUAAGAGGGUUUUACUAUAUUAGUAUUCCAAUUCUAAUUCAUUUAUAUAUAUAUAUAUAUAUAGAUCUAUAUAUAUAUAUAUAGUUAGAGAGAGAGAGAUGAGAGACGAGGAGAGAGAGAGAGAGAGAGAGAGAGG
This 27446-nucleotide long non-coding RNA is filed under the name Ananas comosus (pineapple). RNAcentral describes it as "long non-coding RNA (ACOM_LNC026433)". The record is from RNAcentral. Lineage: Eukaryota; Viridiplantae; Streptophyta; Magnoliopsida; Poales; Bromeliaceae.